This 442-nucleotide ribosomal RNA is filed under the name uncultured bacterium. RNAcentral's name for it is "partial 16S ribosomal RNA". It matches the Rfam family "Bacterial small subunit ribosomal RNA", at positions 338 to 795 of the family's 1533-position model. The record is from RNAcentral.
CCUACGGGCGGCAGCAGUGGGGAAUAUUGGGCAAUGGACGCAAGUCUGACCCAGCAACGCCGCGUGAAGGAAGAAGGCUUUCGGGUUGUAAACUUCUUUUAAGGGGGAAGAGCAGAAGACGGUACCCCUCGAAUAAGCCACGGCUAACUACGUGCCAGCAGCCGCGGUAAUACGUAGGUGGCAAGCGUUGUCCGGAUUUACUGGGUGUAAAGGGCGUGCAGCCGGGGGGAAAAGUCAGAUGUGAAAUCCACGGGACUAACCCCGGAACUGCAUUUGAAACUGUUUCCCUUGAGUGUCAGAGAGGUAAUCGGAAUUCCUAGUGUAGCGGUGAAAUGCGUAGAUAUUAGGAAGAACACCAGUGGCGAAGGCGGAUUACUGGACGAUAACUGACGGUGAGGCGCGAAAGCGUGGGGAGCAAACAGGAUUAGAUACCCUAGUAGUC